Molecule: ribosomal RNA, 497 nt
Filed under: uncultured bacterium
Lineage: Bacteria
Description: partial 16S ribosomal RNA
Rfam family: Bacterial small subunit ribosomal RNA
Source: RNAcentral
GACGAACGCUGGCGGCGUGCCUAAUAAAUGCAAGUUGAGCGCUGAGGGUUGUUACUUGUACCAACUGGAUGAGCAGCGAACGGGGGAGUAACGCGUGGGAAAUCUCCCUUUGAGCGGGGGACAACAUUUGGAAACGAAUGUUAAUACCGCUUAAAAACUUUAAAAACAAGUUUUAAGUUUAAAAGAUGCAAUUGCAUACCUAAAAAAUAUUCCCGCGUUGUAUUAGUUAGUUGGUGAGGUAAAGGCUAACCAAGGCGAUGAUACAUAGCCGACCUGAGAGGGUGAUCGGCCACAUUGGGACUGAGACACGGCCCAAACUCCUACGGGAGGCAGCAGUAGGGAAUCUUCGGCAAUGGACGAAAGUCUGACCGAGCAACGCCGCGUGAGUGAAGAAGGUUUUCGGAUCGUAAAACUCUGUUGGUAGAGAAGAACGUUGGUGAGAGUGGAAAGCUCAUCAAGUGACGGUAACUACCCAGAAAGGGACGGCUAACUACGUG